UACGUAGGGGGCUAGCGUUGUCCGGAAUCAUUGGGCGUAAAGAGCGUGUAGGCGGUCCGGUAAGUCCGUUGUGAAAGUCAGGGGCUCAACCCUUGAAUGCCGGCGGAUACUGUCGGGCUAGAGUCCGGAAGAGGCGAGUGGAAUUCCCGGUGUAGCGGUGAAAUGCGCAGAUAUCAGGAGGAACACCGAUGGCGAAGGCAGGUCUCUGGGCAUUAACUGACGCUGAGGAGCGAAAGCAUGGGGAGCGAACAGG
RNAcentral lists this ribosomal RNA (253 nucleotides) under uncultured bacterium. Its description in RNAcentral is "partial 16S ribosomal RNA". It matches the Rfam family "Bacterial small subunit ribosomal RNA", at positions 524 to 776 of the family's 1533-position model. The record is from RNAcentral.